CUGGUGCUUCUGUCCCUGCUGUCUGCAGUGGGUACCAUGCUAGGGUUGCUGGCCCAUUCCCUGCAUGUGCCCAGUGAGAGUUGUAGGUGCAAUUGGGGCAAUACAGGGCUGUCUAUAAGGUGGCAUCAGCUUGGCUGCUGUCAGCAUGGCCAUUGCAAUGAUGAGAGGUACAACCGAACAAGUGUAUGGAGCUGAAACACCUGCCAGGUUAAACCACAACACUGGAUUUGCUCUCCUCA
RNAcentral lists this long non-coding RNA (239 nucleotides) under Gallus gallus (chicken). RNAcentral describes it as "long non-coding RNA NONGGAT003995". The record is from RNAcentral. Lineage: Eukaryota; Metazoa; Chordata; Aves; Galliformes; Phasianidae.